This is a non-coding RNA of Chlorocebus sabaeus (green monkey), 1857 nucleotides long. Lineage: Eukaryota; Metazoa; Chordata; Mammalia; Primates; Cercopithecidae. The record is from RefSeq and is a predicted model, not a curated record.
UUAGAUGUAAAGAUCAACGGGGAAGGGGAGAGAGACUGCUUUUUAGCUGUGUGAUCUCUGGAAAAUUAAUUAAAGUCCCUGAGCCAGUUUCUCAUCUGAAAAAUGGGGAUAGUAAUUAAAAGCUAUCCCACAGGGCUGACAGGGGGAUGAAAACGGAUAAUAAAUAGAAAGUAUUUAGCACUGUGUCUAGUUUCUCAUAAAACUGAAUAAAUGGCAGCUGCGGCUAUCAUCAUCAUCAUCCUCAUCAUUUCUCUAGACAUCAAAUACAAAGAUUUAUUAAGCCAUUACGAAUUGGGAGUGGUGUGGAUCCAAGAAUAAAGGCUCCUGCUCUCAAGGACCUCCCUAUGUAGCUGUUUUAAACCAACUCAGGGCAGAUUAUUUGCUCCUUAAAAAAUGUUCCCACAUAACGCAACAAAGGUCAAAGAUAAAUACUCAUCUAAAGAAAAUCUGAGACAGUAUAAAUAGAGAUGCAAUUAGAAUCAAUGGAGGGUUUCCACCUGCUAUCAUAUUUCUGUUGAAGGAUCCUUUUUUUUUCUUUGCUAGGACACACUGGGAAAGUGUGAGAGGGGUGGCUAAGAUGGCUCUAAGCCAAAUCCACCUAGAAAUAGACCAGCCCCUGGCAGAGGAUUAGAAAAGAGGAAACUAAAAGGAUAAGGAAAAAAAAUUAUUAGAACCACAGAUAAACAAAAAUUUCUGGUGCUUGAGGAGCAGACCAAAGUGAAACCCCACCUCGAGCUCUAUGAUCCAGGGAAUUAACCCGGGUGUGAGAACGCAGGCCCACAGGGCUUGUGGUGAGUGAGAGGGUCAAUUCCCCACAGCUUGAUCCAGCAGUGGAAGCUUAGCACGCAGAACAGUGUUACAGAAUAACAACAAAGAGAAAAGGUGAUCAGAAAAAAAAUGAACGGAUGUUUUUUUCCUUGGUGUAAGAUUACUGUGACAAACACAGAAUUCAGAACCCAGCUGGAGAGAGAAAGUUUAUUUCCAGACUGGAGAAAAGAACAAGGAGAAGAAAAUUUCUACCAAUCAAACAAGCUUUUCAAGGUGGUUUUGCUGGCCCUGACAAAAGCGUGUACAGAAAAGCCACCACUCUCACAGCCUCAGUUUACAUUCACAGAAGGCAGCUGGGUGGUGAGGUCCCUGUAAUAAGAGGAGGAAGAUGAGAUCGAGAGUCAAAUUCUAACAGAUUCAGAUGCUCCCUGCAGACUGCUGCCUCCACCCCCUACAUUAAGACCAAGGACACUCUCACAGAAGAUCUAAAGGAGGAGACCCUGAUGAAUUGGGAGUUUAAAAUACAAAUGGAACUUCCUUUGUCAGUCUUGAUUUGUUUUAUUAACAUCUGAAGGUUGAUUUAUAACAGAUUACCAAGCAGGAGAGAACUGUUUGUACAAUCACUUUACUUAACACCCACAAUUAGAAAAAACAAACAUUCAAAAAUGUUUCCUUUCUAUGGGCUAAUGGAUGGCACAUUCAGUUCUAAAAUAGUCACUUCCAUCUCUGUCAUCUAUUGUAGCAACCAAGGACAGGCGUACUCUAUCUCAAGACCACAGAAAAACAUUCUCUGCAAAAUGAAGGUUUCAGAGACCUAGUUUUUCCAUGAACACAACAAAAGUUCCUAUACAAGGAUAUUUGUGGUAAUGAUGAGAGCUCUGAUGGUGGAAUCAGAUGGAGCUCAAAUCCUGUUUCAACUUGUAUAAGCUUUGUGACCUUGAGUAAGUUAUUUAACCUAAGCCUCCGUUUUGUCAUCUAUAAAAAUGGAAAUAUUAAGAACCAUUGUGACUGAUGUGAGGAUGAAAUGAGACAAUGAAUGUGCUGUCUGACAUUAUAAGGAUUCAAUAAACAGCAGCUGUUAUAUGACAA